Acanthaster planci (crown-of-thorns starfish) is the source of this 213-nucleotide long non-coding RNA. NCBI's taxonomy places the organism in Eukaryota, Metazoa, Echinodermata, Asteroidea, Valvatida, Acanthasteridae. The record is from RefSeq and is a predicted model, not a curated record.
AGGAAAUUCGCGGGAAAGACAUGCCCGUACAUUUUGGCAAACACGAAAGAUCAUGCAUGGACUUUGUACCCUACACUGCGAAGCGAUAAGACACUGAGUUUUAAUUGGCUGUCAAGCACAGAAGUAAAUAUACCAUGAAGCCGCUAGGUGUCCCUUUGAUGAUGUUGACGCUAUCUUUGUGCGUUGCUGCACGCAGCGAGACGGAGGGGGAGA